RNAcentral lists this ribosomal RNA (253 nucleotides) under uncultured Lachnospiraceae bacterium. RNAcentral describes it as "partial 16S ribosomal RNA". It matches the Rfam family "Bacterial small subunit ribosomal RNA", at positions 524 to 776 of the family's 1533-position model. Lineage: Bacteria; Bacillati; Bacillota; Clostridia; Lachnospirales; Lachnospiraceae. The record is from RNAcentral.
UACGUAGGUGGCAAGCGUUAUCCGGAAUUAUUGGGCGUAAAGAGCGCGCAGGUGGUUAAUUAAGUCUGAUGUGAAAGCCCACGGCUUAACCGUGGAGGGUCAUUGGAAACUGUGCGGCUUGAGUGUCGGAGAGGCAAGUGGAAUUCCUAGUGUAGCGGUGAAAUGCGUAGAUAUUAGGAGGAACACCAGUGGCGAAGGCGGCUUGCUGGACGAUGACUGACGUUGAGGCUCGAAAGCGUGGGGAGCAAACAGG